This is a long non-coding RNA of Biomphalaria glabrata, 388 nucleotides long. RefSeq lists it as uncharacterized. The record is from RefSeq and is a predicted model, not a curated record. Lineage: Eukaryota; Metazoa; Mollusca; Gastropoda; Planorbidae. The transcript has 4 exons.
AUCAUGAUUGUCAGUUGUUAUAAUGUAUAUAUAGUACUCAAUAUGAACGUUGAGAUAUUGACAGACUAUUCCGGAUAGGAAAUUUCGCUAUCUAUCAAGCUCCAACAAUGAAGGCAAUCAUUCUCUUGACCAUUUUGCUGGUAUCUUGUGCUGUCUAUGGUGAAAUGUUAGCUGAAGAGACUAGAGCAGUGAAUGAAAAUAACGCUGUAGAAUCAGAGCUGACUCAAAGCACUGAAGAAAAGAAACGCGUAUGGGCAAACUGUGCCCCUAAUGACUACAAAUGUCUCUAUGGAUAAUAUUGAAGUAGACAGUAAACUGGCUGACAUUCUCUACUUAAAUUAAAAAAUUCAUUGUCUCAAAUCUAAUAAACUAUAUAUAAGGAAAUUUA